RNAcentral lists this ribosomal RNA (633 nucleotides) under Photobacterium damselae subsp. damselae. RNAcentral describes it as "bacterial SSU rRNA". It matches the Rfam family "Bacterial small subunit ribosomal RNA", at positions 41 to 652 of the family's 1533-position model. Lineage: Bacteria; Pseudomonadati; Pseudomonadota; Gammaproteobacteria; Vibrionales; Vibrionaceae. The record is from RNAcentral.
GGCAGGCCUAACACAUGCAAGUCGAGCGGCAGCGACUUAACUGAACCUUCGGGGAACGUUAAGGGCGGCGAGCGGCGGACGGGUGAGUAAUGCCUGGGAAUAUGCCCUGAUGUGGGGGAUAACUAUUGGAAACGAUAGCUAAUACCGCAUAAUCUCUUCGGAGCAAAGAGGGGGACCUUCGGGCCUCUCGCGUCAGGAUUAGCCCAGGUGGGAUUAGCUUGUUGGUGAGGUAAUGGCUCACCAAGGCAACGAUCCCUAGCUGGUCUGAGAGGAUGAUCAGCCACACUGGAACUGAGACACGGUCCAGACUCCUACGGGAGGCAGCAGUGGGGAAUAUUGCACAAUGGGGGAAACCCUGAUGCAGCCAUGCCGCGUGUGUGAAGAAGGCCUUCGGGUUGUAAAGCACUUUCAGUAGGGAGGAAGGUAGUGUAGUUAACACCUGCAUUAUUUGACGUUACCUACAGAAGAAGCACCGGCUAACUCCGUGCCAGCAGCCGCGAGUAAUACGGAGGGUGCGAGCGUUAAUCGGAAUUACUGGGCGUAAAGCGCAUGCAGGCGGCCUGUUAAGUCAGAUGUGAAAGCCCGGGGCUUAACCUCGGAAUUGCAUUUGAAACUGGCAGGCUAAAGUCUUGU